Gasterosteus aculeatus aculeatus (three-spined stickleback) is the source of this 2185-nucleotide long non-coding RNA. NCBI's taxonomy places the organism in Eukaryota, Metazoa, Chordata, Actinopteri, Perciformes, Gasterosteidae. The record is from Ensembl.
AACCCUCUGAUUGGAGGACGACCGUGCUCCCCACUCACCCACAGUCGCCCCUGUAACGACUGUGGGUGACCAGUGCUGUAACGAUUGGCUGACCAGACGAUUAGUGGCCAACUAUUUUGAUCAUCAAUUGAUAGUCGUUCUUUGUGCAAGCAUGUAAGAGGAUGGUGUUGUCCCCCUAUCCGGUGUAAAGGUGUCCUGCUUUUCUCCAUUGAGCUGAGUAUCUUUGAGUUUAGUCUGAGCAUGCCGCCUCAGAUUUAAAAUUAGCGGGUUACCAACACCAUAAAAACGAUACAAGUGAGCAAAACGAACAACCGGUGACAAACGCAAGCAAUAGGAUGAAAAGCGUUGCGAAACACACUUCAAAAUCAAGCAGCAACCACUGAAAGCUGUUAAAUGUGACAUAAUACACCUCAUACGAUCUUGACAAAAUCUAAAACAAACCCUGAAAAGCUGCAUAGAUAGAACACACCUGUCCCAAAAAAUAAAAGUGAGCUGCGAACAUGUUGCUAGGAGGUAGGCAGCAGAGAGUGACCUGGUACUUUCAUUAGCCCCCCAAUUAUGUUAGCCAAACAAAUUGCAGUGCCCCCCAUUGUGGAUAGAGAGGACAGGGAUGCACUUAGCUUUGUUAUCAGUAGCGGGGUCGGUUAAGAGUGAAAUGUCAGCAGGCAGUAAAUGUCAAUGAAGGAAGUUCUGAGAAAGUGCGAAUCUCUGCAACCAACAGAGGUCCUUGAGCAAGCAGCUGGAACGUAAAGCAGUUUCCUGCAGCAGAAUGAAGGAUUCACAGUGGACAGACGGAGAGGUGCACACUCACUCACUCACUCAUUCAUUCAUUCACUCAUGGACCUAGGCCUGCACCUGACUGCAUGAUCUUCUUGGAGAAAAUACAUCUUCGUAUAGACCCUCCUUACCGCAAAGUAGAGUAUAAUCUUUUGUAAUAAAGUCACAGUAUAUUGGGUCAAAAGAACCUAUGAAAGCAGAAUGAUAUAAACUAUGUUGAACAGGGUAAUCAACGGUAAGUAUACCAAGUAUAGAAUCUCAAAUAAAACAGAGUCAUAAUAUGUUGAAAACAGCUUUGAAAAAAGAAAAGUUACCAACAGUUACCAACUUCAAAUUUUACAUUCAGAAAAUGACAACCCACCACUCAGUGAAGGGAAACCACAAACAAUCCAGCAGUUCCAGCAGACCAUUUGUCUUUAAAGUUUGAUGGAGUCACACAGCUUGAUUUUGGAAAUCAGAAAAACUCUCCAGCGGUCAUAGUGAACUACAUUGGAGAGACAGAACUUACUCUUCUUCGGAGCGAGGUGGAGCAUACACCUGUAGGAGAGGAAGUGGAAAGUCCUUGUGGUGCUGGCCUUUGUAACAGCCGGCUCCAGGUUUAUGUCGGCAUGAGGGAUUGUAGCCAACACAACAGUCUUUACCAGUCUGGAAGUUUAGGAAGGCUGAAGAUGGCCGGUGGUCCCCAACUAUUUUUGCAUCACGAACCGGUUUCAUGUUAUACAAUAUUUCUCGGGCCGUAUGUAUGUCGGUUCCCCUAAGAAUAAAAUAUUUGGUCAAAUGUUCUGGAUAGAGAAUCUUCUCCCCCGUCAGUGUGAAAGUUGGGGUUAUGUUUUGCUCCUUCGGAUGCUGGGGCAUUAAAAGUCUACCUUCUCAUCCCACGGUCAACCUUAAACCUUUAAAACCAACCAUAAAGAGGUUGUAAAUGUCUAAGUGAACAGACAACUCUGCUACUUUGAGACCAUGUCUUAGACCAUGUCUCUCUGUGCAACUACCUUAGUUGUCAGAGGACUCUUGUGAAAACUUUAGGCCGUCCCGGAUCGAUCAUCUUGUCGAUACUGCUACAGGGUCUUUUAGAGUGGCGCUGGACGCUAUCGCUCCUCUGGAAAGGAGAAUUGCAUAAACUUCCAUUGUUAUGCAGACGAUACUCAAUUGAGAUUGAUUGCAAUCUGCCGUCCCUCCAGGACUUGUUCGCUUCGAGGACUCUGAAGCGAGCUAGAAAGAUGGUAGCCGACCCCUCUCACCGUGGAAAGAAACUGUUUGUGCCCCUUCCAUUUGGCAGGAGGCUGAGGUCUAUCAGGACCAAGACACGCAAACAGUUUCUGGCAGUCGGGCUCAGCCCGGUUACGCCCCCUGACUGACAUCCCUUUCUCCACCGGUCAUCUGUUCGCCAUUGCACUUUUAUUUUAUU